This 108-nucleotide ribosomal RNA is filed under the name Scophthalmus maximus (turbot). Lineage: Eukaryota; Metazoa; Chordata; Actinopteri; Pleuronectiformes; Scophthalmidae. The record is from RNAcentral.
GCUUACGGCCACACCGUCUGGUAUACGCUUGAUCUCGGAAGAUAAGGUAGGUUGGGCCUGGUUAGUACUUGGAUGGGGACCGCCUGGGAAUACCAGGUGCUGUAAGCU